CACUAUUGGAUGAGCCUAUGUCGGAUUAGUUAGUUGGUGGGGUAAAGGGACCUACCAAGGCAGCGAUCCGUAGCUGGUCUUAGAGGAUGAUCAGCCACAUCGGGACUGAGACACGGCCCGAACUCCUACGGGAGGCAGCAGUGGGGAAUAUUGCACAAUGGGCGCAAGCCUGAUGCAGCUAUGCCGCGUGUGUGAAGAAGGCCUUAGGGUUGUAAAGCACUUUCAGUAGUGAGGAAAAGUGUUGUGUUAAUAGCGCAAUGCUGUGACGUUAGCUACAGAAGAAGGACCGGCAAACUCCGUG
This 301-nucleotide ribosomal RNA is filed under the name uncultured bacterium. RNAcentral's name for it is "bacterial SSU rRNA". It matches the Rfam family "Bacterial small subunit ribosomal RNA", at positions 216 to 507 of the family's 1533-position model. The record is from RNAcentral.